Triplophysa rosa is the source of this 2669-nucleotide RNA transcript. It is a transcript of the gene named phospholipid phosphatase 6, with no coding region annotated. NCBI's taxonomy places the organism in Eukaryota, Metazoa, Chordata, Actinopteri, Cypriniformes, Nemacheilidae. The transcript has 3 exons. The record is from RefSeq and is a predicted model, not a curated record.
AGUCACGUGGUUGAAUACAGUACGACAUUUCCCAGAGUUCAUUGCACAGAAAGCUGCUGUUCAAACAUGGCGCUGUACGGUGCAGUGGUCCGACGUGUUCUCUUUUAUCACCUGUAAACCAUGAUCUGAAAACGAGACAUCUAAAAGCUUUACCAAAAAACGGAAGACACUCCAGUCAUAUCGGACCAACCUGUCUUGGCAUCUGUAAAGUAAAAUGCCUUCUCCUAAAGCGCGGAACAGUGCUGGGCGCAGCGGCAGUGUCCCGUCUCCCGGCGGUGGAAACGGGCGCUAUGAGUUCAUUGCUCUGAACCGAACUCCCCCGCACCUGCUGCAGAGACAGGGUUCCGAUCCCACAUCGGCCCGGCUUCGAGCCUCCGAGAGCCCCAACCGACGACGGGGCUCGGGUUCAUCUACCUCCUCCACCGGUGGACAGCAGUUACCAGAGGAAGACUGCAUGAGAUUAAACCCUUCUUUCAUCGAGAUAGCGCUCAGCUCUCUGCUGGCCAUCGACCUGUGGCUGUCGAAGCGGCUUGGUGUGUGCGCUUGUGAGGACUCGUCGUGGGGCAGCGUGCGGCCGCUCAUGAAGCUCAUCGAGAUCUCCGGUCACGGGAUUCCGUGGCUCGCCGGUGCCGCGUACUGUCUGUAUAAAAGCGACAGUAUCGCCGGUCAGGAGGUCAUGCUGAACCUGCUCAUGGCCUUGGUUCUGGAUCUGGUGCUGGUUGGUGUGGUCAAGGCCGCGGUGCGGCGCCGACGUCCUGCCCAUAACCAAAUGGACAUGUUUGCCACAUUCUCUGUGGACCGCUAUUCCUUCCCAUCAGGCCAUGCCACACGUGCUGCGAUGUGUGCCCGUUUUCUAUUGGCCCAUCUGGUGCUGGCUGCCCCACUCCGGGUGCUUGUUCUGCUCUGGGCGUCUUUCGUUGGUUUUUCUAGGGUUCUCCUCGGACGCCAUAAUGUGACAGAUGUUGUGUUUGGUUUCUUUAUGGGUUACUGGCAGUAUAAUUUGGUUGAGAUGCUGUGGUUGUCACCACUCAUGUUCCAAAGCAUGAUCGGACAGCUCGACUAAGAAGUUGUAAGAACUUGAGUGGGGCCUAGAUUUUUGGGGGGAUCUAGACUAAAUCGCUGUUUGGUGCAAUUAAUUCCAUGUUGUCAGUCAUCAUUGUUUUAUAUGUCUGCUAACUAAAAUGUAAAAUAUUAACCAUCUUCCAGCAAUGUUCAGGGUUUUUAUUAAGUUCAUUUCUGUCAGAAAUCUGCAGUGGAUUGUCAGAGAGUGGUAUGAAUGGGUCUAAUGUUCUAUCACUUCAGAUUAUUUCUCUGUCUUCCUCUCUUUUUCUACUUUUUGGCUGACCACUGUUGAUUGGAUCAUUUGUGACUCAUUUGAAAAACUGGUGUAAAGAGGGAACAUUGGUGUUUGACAUCUAUGGGGUCCAUUUCAUCAGCGAGAGUUAUAUCUCUAAUUAAUAUGAAAAACUCUUCUUAGGUGAAUAUUUAAUUAAGCAAAGAAAGAUAAGAAACUGAGGGCUGAAUUUUACUGCGGCUUCAGAACCUUAAAGGAGUCAUUCGCCAGAAGGUUAAAGUCUCAGCAGUGAUUAUAGAGCCAUAAACUGCAUGAUAUGCUGCAAACUGUAGCCACUCAUCACAGGAGAAUAUUUUCACCAAAGUCACAGAAACACCUCUAUAUCUACAAACUGUACAGUGAUGGUAAUAAUGGCACUUUGAUAUAUAUAUACAGGUAUAUAUAUAUAUAUAAUUGUACCAAGUGUAUGUACAAAGGUAUUUUGGGGUAUGUUAACGUGCAAAAAACAUGGGUAAUACCAUCAUAUUCCAUCACUCUUUUUUAACAUUCUUGUAGUUUUAUUAUUGUGAAAUUAGUAACCAUGGUUCAUUUUUAUAAGGGACACUUUAUUUCAUAGUGUGUGUGGGAUUCCAGAGCAUGUUACUAACCAGAAUAAUAACGAACAGGAUGUGUAAAGAAUGUGUAUGGACAGUUGCCUCAAUUGGCAUGUUUGUGUGUGAAAUAUGAAUUGAAGUUCAACUCAAUGCUUAGGAAAAAUGAUUUACAGUAUGUAACAGAUCAAACAUGCCAUCAGCUAAUCAUAUGGCUUGCUGUUCCUUUGUGGCAUUCGUUUUUCAAUCCACCCCAAGUUUUUUUCUCAUAUGAAAUUUGUCUCCUUGAGAGCUCAUGACUUGAAAAUCAUUUUCAGUAAUAAGUUUGUUGUGAUGUUUGUGGGAGUCUUCACUGUUUAAAGAGAACCAUCUACACUCUUUUCCUGUGCAAUAAUUUGGUUGUUUUAUAAAAGUGCAGCCUUUGUCAUUAGUGCAAUAUAAUAUACGAGACAAAUGGCAGCAAAAAAAUAAUGCUGUAUUUAAAUUGCAAUAAUGUGAUGUUCUGGUGCUGUGUUUGUUUGCUAGAGACCAUGCAUAUUAGCCUUUAUACUUGUAGUUAAUGGAGAGGACACUUUUAUUUGAUAUUCUGUUGACUGAGCGAAUCUUGGUUUCACCAACUAUUACACUACAAAUAAUCUCACAUUUGACCAUUGCUGUCCAAAGUGGCAAUGUAACUUCGUGCUUAUGUGGUAGAUGCUAUGAUAGUUUACUAUAUUUGUGAUGUAAAAUAUACUCAACAUUGAUCAUAACGUGAUUGUAUUUUUUAAAUAAAUAUAACAAUUUCA